RNAcentral lists this unclassified non-coding RNA (520 nucleotides) under uncultured Glomus. RNAcentral describes it as "SSU rRNA". It matches the Rfam family "Eukaryotic small subunit ribosomal RNA", at positions 569 to 1093 of the family's 1831-position model. Lineage: Eukaryota; Fungi; Glomeromycota; Glomeromycetes; Glomerales; Glomeraceae. The record is from RNAcentral.
AGCAGCCGCGGUAAUUCCAGCUCCAAUAGCGUAUAUUAAAGUUGUUGCAGUUAAAAGCUCGUAGUUGAAUUUCGGGAUCAAUAUAUCGGUCGUGCCUUGGUACGUACUGGUAUCAUUGGUUUCUCCUUUCUGACGAACCAUGAUGUCAUUAAUUUGGUGUUAUGGGAAGUUAGGACUGUUACUUUGAAAAAUUAGAGUGUUUAAAGCAGGCUUUGGCUUGAAUACAUUAGCAUGGAAUAAUGAAAUAGGACGUUCGAACCUAUUUUGUUGGUUUCUAGGAUCAACGUAAUGAUUAAUAGGGAUAGUUGGGGGCAUUAGUAUUCAAUUGUCAGAGGUGAAAUUCUUGGAUUUAUUGAAGACUAACUACUGCGAAAGCAUUUGCCAAGGAUGUUUUCAUUAAUCAAGAACGAAAGUUAGGGGUCGAAGACGAUCAGAUACCGUCGUAGUCUUAACCAUAAACUAUGCCGACUAGGGAUCGGAUGAUGUUAAUUUUUUAAUGUACUCAUUCGGCGCCUUACGG